AGAGUUUGAUCCUGGCUCAGAGUGAACGCUGGCGGUAGGCCUAACACAUGCAAGUCGAACGGCAGCACAGGAGAGCUUGCUCUCUGGGUGGCGAGUGGCGGACGGGUGAGGAAUACAUCGGAAUCUACUUUUUCGUGGGGGAUAACGUAGGGAAACUUACGCUAAUACCGCAUACGACCUACGGGUGAAAGCCGGGGACCUUCGGGCCUGGCGCGGAUAAAUGAGCCGAUGUCCGAUUAGCUAGUUGGCGGGGUAAGAGCCCACCAAGGCGACGAUCGGUAGCUGGUCUGAGAGGAUGAUCAGCCACACUGGAACUGAGACACGGUCCAGACUCCUACGGGAGGCAGCAGUGGGGAAUAUUGGACAAUGGGCGCAAGCCUGAUCCAGCCAUACCGCGUGGGUGAAGAAGGCCUUCGGGUUGUAAAGCCCUUUUGUUGGGAAAGAAAAGCAGUCGGUUAAUACCCGAUUGUUCUGACGGUACCCAAAGAAUAAGCACCGGCUAACUUCGUGCCAGCAGCCGCGGUAAUACGAAGGGUGCAAGCGUUACUCGGAAUUACUGGGCGUAAAGCGUGCGUAGGUGGUUGUUUAAGUCUGUCGUGAAAGCCCUGGGCUCAACCUGGGAAUUGCGAUGGAAACUGGGCAACUAGAGUGUGGCAGAGGAUAGU
Molecule: ribosomal RNA, 665 nt
Filed under: uncultured Stenotrophomonas sp.
Lineage: Bacteria; Pseudomonadati; Pseudomonadota; Gammaproteobacteria; Lysobacterales; Lysobacteraceae
Description: bacterial SSU rRNA
Rfam family: Bacterial small subunit ribosomal RNA
Source: RNAcentral